Molecule: non-coding RNA, 119 nt
Organism: Daucus carota subsp. sativus
Lineage: Eukaryota; Viridiplantae; Streptophyta; Magnoliopsida; Apiales; Apiaceae
Source: Rfam
GGGUGCGAUCAUACUAGCACUAAUGCACCGGAGACCAUCAGAACUCCGAAGUUAAGCGUGCUUGAGCGAGAGUAGUAAUAGGAUGGGUGACCCCUUGGGAAGUCCUCGUGCUGCACCCC